This 113-nucleotide ribosomal RNA is filed under the name Danio rerio (zebrafish). Lineage: Eukaryota; Metazoa; Chordata; Actinopteri; Cypriniformes; Danionidae. The record is from RNAcentral.
GCCGGCAGCCGGCUCUCUGCAACUCUCAAAUGUUCUUCCUCUGAAGCUAAGCAGGGCUGCGUGGUCAGUACCUGGAUGGGAGACCACAUGGGAAAGCUAGGUUGCUGCUGGAA